UGAACCCCAAAAUCGAGACAGGAACCCAAAAUCCAGCAGAUCCCAAAAUCGAGACAGGAUCCCAAAAUCCCACAGCGCCCCAAAAUCUGGCAGUGCUGGGGGACCCCAGAAUCCCAUGGAAUCCCAAAAUCCCGUUGGAUCCCAAAAUCCGGCACUGCCACAGGAUUCCCAACGCCGGGGGAAGCCCAAAAUCCUGUGGGAUCCCAAAAUCCCACGGGAUCCCAAAACCUGGGAGUGUUCCAAAACCCCAGGACCCCAAAAUCCAAUGGGACCCCAAAUUUGCUCUGCCACAGGAUUCCCAAAACGGAGGGAACCCCAAAAUCCUGUGGGAUCCCAAAAUCUGACAGGAUCCCAAAAUCCUGAGGCGCCCCCAAACCUGGCACUGCCCAAAUCCCACAGGAUCCCAAAAUCCAGGGGAACCCCAAAAUCUGGGAGUGUUCCAACACCUCAGGACCCCAAAAUCCAACGGGACCCCAAAAUCCAACGGAAUCCCAAAAUCUGGCACUGCCACAGGAUUCCCAAAGCCAGGGAACCCCAAAAUCCUGUGGGAUCCCAAAAUCCAGUGGCACCCCAAAACCUGGCACUGCCCAAAUCCCACAGGACCCCAAAAUCCAACGGAACCCCAAAAUCUGGGAGUGUCCCAACACCUCAGGACCCCAAAUCCAACGGGACCCCAAAAUCCCGUGGCACCCCAAAAUCCGGCACUGCCACAGGAUCCCAAAACCGGGGAACCCCAAAAUCCUGUGGGAUCCCAAAAUCCAACAGGACCCCAAAAUCUGGGACUGUUCCAACUCCAAUGGGACCCCAAAACCUCCCAGCCCCACAGAGCCCCAAUUCCUGCUUUAGGCAUUCCUGGUUUUUAUUCCCUGCUCCCCUUCGGGGGAUCCUGCUGGAAUUCUGGGAAAUCUGCUGGAAUUUUGGGGGAAUCCUUCAGGAAUUUUGGAGAGAUCCUACUGGAAUUCUGGGGGAUCCUGCUGGAAUUUUGGGGGAGAUCCCGCUGGAAUUGUGGGGGGAUCCUGCUGGAAUUCCAGGGGAUACUUCAGGAAUUCUGGGGGAUCCUGCUCAAAUUCUGGGAAAUUCCAGUGGAAUUUUGGGAAAUCCCCCUGGAAUUCCAGGGAAUCCCACUGAAAUUUUGGGGGGAUCCUGCUGGAAUUCCAGGGGAUCUGAUGGAAUUCUGGGGGAUCCUGCAGGAAUUUUGGGAAGUCCCACUGGGAUUCUGGGAAAUCCCAGUGGAAUUUUGGGAAGUCCCGCUGGAAUUCCAGAGAAUCCCACUGAAAUUUUGGGGGAUCCUGCUGAAAUUUUGAGGGGAUCCUGCUGGAAUUCCAGGGGAUCCUGCUGGAAUUCCGGGGGAUCCUGCUGGAAUUUUGGGGAGAUCCCACCGGAAUUCUGGGAAAUCCACUGGAAUUGUGGGGGGAAUCCUGCUGGAAUUCCAGGGGAUACUUCAGGAAUUCUGGGGAAUCCUGGUGGAAUUUUGGGAAAUCCGCUGGAAUUUUGGGAAGUCCCCCUGGAAUUCCAGGGAAUCCCACUGAAAUUUUGGGGGGAUCCUGCUGGAAUUCUGGGGAAUCCUGGUGGAAUUUUGGGAAAUCUGCUGGGAUUUUGGAGGAUUCCACAGGAAUUUUGGGAUUCCCACACUGGAAUUUUGGGGGGAUCCCGCUGGAAUUUUGGGGAAUCCCACUGGAAUUUUGGGGGGAUCCCGCUGGAAUUCUGGGGGAUCCUGCUCAAAUUCUGGGAAAUCCCACUGGAAUUUUGGGGAAUCCCUCUGGAAUUCUGGGAAAUCCUGCUGGAAUUUUGGGGGAUCCCGCUGGAAUUCCAGGGGAUACUUCAGGAAUUCUGGGGGAUCCGGAUCAAAUUCUGGGAAAUCCCAGUGGAAUUUUGGAAAAUCACGCUGGAAUUCUGGGGGAUCCCACUGGAAUUGUGUGAAAUCCCACUGGAAUUUUGGGGGGAUCCUGCUGGAAUUUUGGGAAAUCCCACUGGAAUUCCAGGGGAUCCCACUGAAAUUUUGGAGGAUCCUGCUGGAAUUCCAGGGAAUCCCUCUGGAAUUCUGGGGGAUCCUGCUGGAAUUUUGGUAAAUCCGGCUGGAAUUCCAGCAGGAUCCCGGUUUGGCAUUCCCGGAUUAUUUCCAUGGUUUGGCGUUCCCGGAUUUCCCGCUCCGGGAUUUGUCCCUCGGGAUCGGGAGCAGCGACCCCGGAGCUGA
This is a long non-coding RNA of Taeniopygia guttata (zebra finch), 2194 nucleotides long. The record is from Ensembl. Lineage: Eukaryota; Metazoa; Chordata; Aves; Passeriformes; Estrildidae.